RNAcentral lists this ribosomal RNA (464 nucleotides) under uncultured bacterium. RNAcentral describes it as "partial 16S ribosomal RNA". It matches the Rfam family "Bacterial small subunit ribosomal RNA", at positions 339 to 795 of the family's 1533-position model. The record is from RNAcentral.
CUACGGGUUGCAGCAGUGAGGAAUUUUGCGCAAUGGGGGAAACCCUGACGCAGCAACGCCGCGUGAGCGAAGAAGGCCCUCGGGUCGUAAAGCUCUGUCAAGUGGGAGAAAAAUCUUUUAAUCAAUAGUUAAAAGACUUGAUGGUACCACUGGAGGAAGCACCGGCUAACUCCGUGCCAGCAGCCGCGGUAAUACGGAGGGUGCAAGCGUUGUUCGGAAUUACUGGGCGUAAAGAGCGUGUAGGCGGUUUGGCAAGUCAGAUGUGAAAGCCCCGGGCUUAACCUGGGAAGUGCAUUUGAAACUGCUUGACUAGAGUAUGGGAGAGGAGAUUGGAAUUCCUGGUGUAGAGGUGAAAUUCGUAGAUAUCAGGAGGAACACCCGUGGCGAAGGCGAUUCUCUGGACCAAUACUGACGCUGAGACGCGAAAGCGUGGGGAGCAAACAGGAUUAGAUACCCCCGUAGUC